AACUGAUGUAUUUGCAUUUGGAGUGGUUCUGGCAGAGCUGAUAACAGGCCAGCGUGCACUUGUUCGGGACAACUGGGAGCCCAACAAGAUGAGAUCUCUAAUUACAGUAGUGAGGCCAAAAAUUCUUCAAGAAAAAGAAAAAUAAAAAUAAAAACUAAUUGAAUCAAGCUUGAUAAAUCUAAAUAAAAAAGAUGUGCUCUAGUUGAAAAUUUGAUGACAGUUAGCUAUGUGGAAGGACAGAGAAAACUCAAACUCAUUAAUCAAUGUCACUGACAACAUUAACCAAGAAAAGGAAAAAUAGUUUAAAAAUUCCUUUGAAAAAUUUAAGUAGUUAAAAGGCUGGAUGUUAUUUGAGAAAUUAUCAGCUUGAUUUUAUUAAUCAAAAUGGUAGAUGUGAUCAAUCAACAAGGCUAUUUAUUCUCCUGCUAUCAAACAGCUAACAAAAUUAUUUGCAGGUUCAGCUGCAUACCAUUUUCAUAUAUGCAUAUGUUUGUAAUGACAUGAAGUGUUUUCCCUACUAUUUUGGCACUACCACUGUUUUACAAAUGAAUGCUCUGGGCACGCACUACAAUUAAUAAAAUCUGAUUAUGAUGACCCAAAAAAUUUUCUCUUUUGUCACAUGAACAGGUUUACAAAAUUUUUGAAGAUGAAGAUCCAGAGAGUGCCUUAGAAAGUGCAGUAGACAGAAAUCUCCGGGGUAGCUUCCCCAUGGAUGAUGUCUACAAGGUUAGCCCAACUUAUUCCAAUUUUCUUCAUGGAUGCCUUUGGCUCCUAUUAUUUUAUGCUGUAAAAGGAUAACGUCACUAGGAUGAUGACAUUCAUCAUUCAACCGGAGCUUAAAUACUAACACAAAUCAAGCUUCUAUAACACCAUCAGCAGGACAUAAAACUUUACAAGACUAGUUCAAAGCUUUAAAAGCAAUAUUCAAGCGUCCAAUUCAUAGAUUAAAGGCUUUACAUCUCUCAUAAUGUUAUUCCAAAUUUUACUGUCAAACAAUACACUUUUGAAGGAAGCAGACUUGCUUGACCUAAGCAAACUUCUGUAGAAAUGGACUCAGAAUUGCAGAUUAUAGAACUGAAUCAUGGGUACCAUAAUAUCUAUAUGUGAGAAGACUACUGUUGAUUCAAAUAUGAUAAAAUAUUACUUUUUGCAGAUGGCAGAAAUUGCAGAAUGGUGUUUGAGCGAAGACCCAAUCAAUAGACCAGAAAUACGAGAUAUUCUUCCAAUGCUAUCUAAUAUCAUGACAUCCUCAGUAGAAUGGGAAGCAUCACUGGGAGGGAACAGCCCAGUUUUUAGUGGGAUCUAUAAUGGAAGAUGAGAAUCACAAAUUCAAAAGCUGCAUUUGAGGGUGUAAAAUGUUUCUGUCAGCUAUAGUUACAAAUCCAAACUAGCCUGCUUUUUUAUUCAGGAAAAUUCGUAUACAACACUUGACAAGAGUGACUGUACAAAUACAUAGAGCGACUUACCUAUGCCAAAUUCUUUCUAUUUUGUAUUGAAAAAACUAACUAGAGUUGUCAAAGGAACAGUUUAAAAAUUUUAUUAACAACAAGAAACAUCCUCUCUAAUACCUAGAGUUCAAUUCACAGCAUUCCCCCACCAUUCUCAUUGAGUGAAAAUCCAAAUUAGCAAUUCUUUCAUACUAAUUAACUGCCCUUAGUAAAAGACAGCAAUUGUGCGCUAAUGGAAAUAGCAGAAGGCAAGAACCAAAAUUCGAUAUGAAAGAGUUGCAUUUGGCUGCGGAGAAACAAUAAUUUAGUUUUAAGGGUUGCAUUUUUUUGUUGCAGCAAAACGGGCGCAAAUCUCGAAAUCCAGAUAGAAGAAAAAACAGAAAGGAAAGCUUUACAGGAAAGCGAGUGAGAGAAAUUGGCCUGUGAAAGGACCUUGAAGCGUCCAUGGCACACCGAGCACCAGUCGAUUGCCGGAGUUCUGGCCAUUCCUUCUCUUUUCUUCCUUGGCAAUAAGCACUAGUAAGCAAUAGCAAUAAUAAUAAUAAUAAUAAUAC
RNAcentral lists this long non-coding RNA (2002 nucleotides) under Manihot esculenta (cassava). RNAcentral's name for it is "long non-coding RNA (MESC_LNC007639)". The record is from RNAcentral. Lineage: Eukaryota; Viridiplantae; Streptophyta; Magnoliopsida; Malpighiales; Euphorbiaceae.